Molecule: ribosomal RNA, 497 nt
Filed under: uncultured bacterium
Lineage: Bacteria
Description: partial 16S ribosomal RNA
Rfam family: Bacterial small subunit ribosomal RNA
Source: RNAcentral
GAUGAACGCUGGCGGCGUGCCUAAUACAUGCAAGUCGAGCGAACAGAUAAGGAGCUUGCUCCUUUGACGUUAGCGGCGGACGGGUGAGUAACACGUGGAUAGCCUACCUAUAAGACUGGGAUAACUUCGGGAAACCGGAGCUAAUACCGGAUAACAUAUUGAACCGCAUGGUUCAAUAGUGAAAGGCGGCUUUGCUGUCACUUAUAGAUGGAUCCGCGCCGUAUUAGCUAGUUGGUAAGGUAACGGCUUACCAAGGCAACGAUACGUAGCCGACCUGAGAGGGUGAUCGGCCACACUGGAACUGAGACACGGUCCAGACUCCUACGGGAGGCAGCAGUAGGGAAUCUUCCGCAAUGGGCGAAAGCCUGACGGAGCAACGCCGCGUGAGUGAUGAAGGUCUUCGGAUCGUAAAACUCUGUUAUCAGGGAAGAACAAAUGUGUAAGUAACUGUGCACAUCUUGACGGUACCUGAUCAGAAAGCCACGGCUAACUACGUG